ACCACCACCUCUCCUUCACCCCCACACUGCCGCCACACUAUCGUCAUCUGUUGUCACCAAUUUUCUUCGUUUUCUUCUUUCUCAUCUUUUUUCGUAAAUUACCUUCGUAAUAUUUUAAUUUUGAUUUUUAAAUACUAAAAUAUCAUCUCUCAUCUUAUUUUUUAAACACUUCUAUUUUGUGUUUAUAGUGUCGAAUCCCUCUCUUUAACCGACUUUUCGAGAUUUAUUGCCAAGUUUUCU
This 240-nucleotide long non-coding RNA is filed under the name Gossypium barbadense (sea-island cotton). RNAcentral describes it as "long non-coding RNA (GBAR_LNC018391)". Lineage: Eukaryota; Viridiplantae; Streptophyta; Magnoliopsida; Malvales; Malvaceae. The record is from RNAcentral.